GUCCUAGCCGUAAACGUUGGGUGCUAGGUGUGGGUGGACAUCGACCCCAUCCGUGCCGAAGCUAACGCAUUAAGCACCCCGCCUGGGGAGUACGGCCGCAAGGCUAAAACUCAAAGGAAUUGACGGGGGCCCGCACAAGCGGCGGAGCAUGCGGCUUAAUUCGAUGCGACGCGAAGAACCUUACCUGGGCUUGACAUGCAGGGCAAAGCCGGUGAAAGCCGGCGCUCUACGGAGCCUGCACAGGUGGUGCAUGGCUGUCGU
Molecule: ribosomal RNA, 261 nt
Filed under: uncultured bacterium
Lineage: Bacteria
Description: partial 16S ribosomal RNA
Rfam family: Bacterial small subunit ribosomal RNA
Source: RNAcentral